This 246-nucleotide ribosomal RNA is filed under the name uncultured bacterium. Its description in RNAcentral is "partial 16S ribosomal RNA". It matches the Rfam family "Bacterial small subunit ribosomal RNA", at positions 531 to 776 of the family's 1533-position model. The record is from RNAcentral.
GUCCCGAGCGUUGUUCGGAUUCAUUGGGCGUAAAGGGUGCGUAGGCGGUGGGGUAAGUUGGAUGUGAAAUCUUGGGGCUUAACCUCAAAAUUGCAUUCAAUACUGCUCCGCUAGAGCUCUGUAGAGGAGAUUGGAAUUUACGGUGUAGCAGUGAAAUGCGUAGAUAUCGUAAGGAACGCCAGUGGCGAAAGCGAAUCUCUGGGCAGCAACUGACGCUGAGGCACGAAGGCCAGGGGAGCAAACGGG